Molecule: ribosomal RNA, 492 nt
Filed under: uncultured bacterium
Lineage: Bacteria
Description: partial 16S ribosomal RNA
Rfam family: Bacterial small subunit ribosomal RNA
Source: RNAcentral
AGUGAACGCUGGCGGUAGGCCUAACACAUGCAAGUCGAACGGCAGCACAGUAAGAGCUUGCUCUUACGGGUGGCGGGUGGCGGACGGGUGAGGAAUACAUCGGAAUCUACUUUUUCGUGGGGGAUAACGUAGGGAAACUUACGCUAAUACCGCAUACGACCUACGGGUGAAAGCAGGGGAUCUUCGGACCUUGCGCGAUUGAAUGAGCCGAUGUCGGAUUAGCUAGUUGGCGGGGUAAAGGCCCAGCAAGGCGACGAUCCGUAGCUGGUCUGAGAGGAUGAUCAGCCACACUGGAACUGAGACACGGUCCAGACUCCCACGGGAGGCAGCAGUGGGGAAUAUUGGACAAUGGGCGCAAGCCUGAUCCAGCCAUACCGCGUGGGUGAAGAAGGCCUUCGGGUUGUAAAGCCCUUUUGUUGGGAAAGAAAAGCAGCAGGUUAAUACCCCGCUGUUCUGACGGUACCCAAAGAAUAAGCACCGGCUAACUUCGUG